UCAGGAUGAACGCUAGCGGCAGGCUUAACACAUGCAAGUCGAGGGGCAUCGGGAGUAGCAAUACUGCCGGCGACCGGCGCAAGGGUGCGUAACGCGUGAGCAACAUGCCCGUAUCAGGGGGAUAAUCCAUGGAAACGUGGUCUAAUACCCCAUAGUAAUUAUGUAAGGCAUCUUAUAUAAUUUAAAGCUUUGGUGGAUACGGAUUGGCUCGCGUGACAUUAGCUGGAUGGUAAGGUAACGGCUUACCAUGGCUACGAUGUCUAGGGGUUCUGAGAGGAAGGUCCCCCCACACUGGAACUGAGACACGGUCCAGACUCCUACGGGAGGCAGCAGUGAGGAAUAUUGGACAAUGGAUGGAAAUCUGAUCCAGCCAUGCCGCGUGCAGGGAAAGACGGCCCUAUGGGUUGUAAACUGCUUUUGUAUGGGAGCAAUAAGGGCUACGUGUAGUCCGAUGAGAGUACCAUACGAAUAAGCACCGGCUAACUCCGUGCCAGCAGCCGC
Molecule: ribosomal RNA, 501 nt
Filed under: uncultured bacterium
Lineage: Bacteria
Description: bacterial SSU rRNA
Rfam family: Bacterial small subunit ribosomal RNA
Source: RNAcentral